RNAcentral lists this long non-coding RNA (1335 nucleotides) under Homo sapiens (human). RNAcentral describes it as "HSALNT0306601". The record is from RNAcentral. Lineage: Eukaryota; Metazoa; Chordata; Mammalia; Primates; Hominidae.
AUGCAAGGAAAAAAUUAUGUAAAAUCUAUAACACUCAGAAUCUGUUAAAUACAGGAUAUUUAAGAAUUGACAAUAAUCCUCAUCCUACUGUUUUUUAUUUCUCAGCAAGUGCAAUGAAUGUUGGCAUUGUUUCUCAGACUUUGGUAUGACAGUAAACUAUAAAAGUAUUUAUUUGACACUAAUUAUAAUUAAGGCAUAGUGAGAUAAUCAAUUGAUGCAGUCUAUAAUUCCCUAUUCUUAAUUUUACAAAAUAAAAAUUCACAGCGAUGGGAGACCUGGUCCAGCCCUGUCCAUUGUGACCCACACCUCCUCAGGACUGAGCAGAAAGAGCUGCUGCAAUUGCCUGGUGUUAUUAAGACAAUAUGUCUACAGAUUUCAAAAUAAUCCAUUGACUAGAAAAAUUUGCAUCACUAUGGCUUCAAUAGACAAAGUAUUCAAGACAGUGCUUGGAAUUAGUAGCUUUCAUUUAUCCUGCCUACAGGAAGAGGAAGACAAGUUUUAAAUGACAGCUCUUAAAGAUGGUGGCGGAGUCCCAGGAAUGAUGUUGAGAAUCAGGCUGCAUUUCUGAGAAAGCACUCAGAGCUCUUUGCUCUUGUAUACUGCCAAUGUGGAAUCACUUCUAAAUUUGCCUUAAUCCAACUCCUAGGAAAAGGAAGUUUUACCUGCCACAAUGCUCCACACAAAGAAAACCGAAAACAGUUUGACUAUCAUUCCUGAAGUGCCAGAGUUUGAGCAAACAUCACAUAAGUGGUAAGUUCUCAAAGAAGUGGAGAUCUUUUUCCCUUUAUACUCACUAUAAUGACCUGUCUUUAAUGCUGGACCGUCUUACUAGGGUGGAAAAAUGUUAAACUGAUUUAUUGUUAUGCCAGCAGAAAACUGCCCUUUUAAUUCAUAGUAAAACAUUUUUCUGUGUCCUAAUAACUGACUGAAGGGAGGGAUUCAGUGAAUGAAGGGAAGAAAAUAUGCACACACUAAGAUAACAACAAGGCUCUAAAACGUAGUAGUACACAAAUAUGCCAAGUAUGUGGGAAACUUUAUAAGGGAUGCUACAUGACCAUAACUGAUAAGGAAGAAAAUAAGAGUCAGUAGUUAUGAGUCACUCUGGGUAAGGUUGGCAGACACAGAGCUUGUUUACCAUCUCCCUGCCCCAGGAAAAUCAGACCAACCCAGCAUUUUUUGGUCCAGUCCCAUUCUACUCCUGUGUGUAAACCCAGUUAAUCACUAAGAGGUCAACCACUUCAGUUUGUAUUUUUUAAUAAAAGGCCUAUUUUUCUUCCCUAUAUCAUUCUCCUUAAGGAUUAAACCUGACAUUUCAAGAUGCCAAAAGGUUGUUAU